RNAcentral lists this transfer RNA (74 nucleotides) under Pateobatis jenkinsii (Jenkins' whipray). RNAcentral's name for it is "tRNA-Lys". It matches the Rfam family "tRNA". Rfam says of the family: Transfer RNA (tRNA) molecules are approximately 80 nucleotides in length. The record is from RNAcentral. Lineage: Eukaryota; Metazoa; Chordata; Chondrichthyes; Myliobatiformes; Dasyatidae.
CAUUAAGAAGCUAAACUGGGUCUAGCAUUAGCCUUUUAAGCUAAAAAUGGUGAUCUCCCAACCACCCUUAGUGA